CAUUCGCCGCGGUAAUACAGAGGGUGCGAGCGUUAAUCGGAUUUACUGGGCGUAAAGCGUGCGUAGGCGGCUUCUUAAGUCGGAUGUGAAAUCCCUGAGCUUAACUUAGGAAUUGCAUUCGAUACUGGGAAGCUAGAGUAUGGGAGAGGAUGGUAGAAUUCCAGGUGUAGCGGUGAAAUGCGUAGAGAUCUGGAGGAAUACCGAUGGCGAAGGCAGCCAUCUGGCCUAAUACUGACGCUGAGGUACGAAAGCAUGGGGAGCAAACAGGAUUAGAUACCCGCGUAGUCCCUGUCUCUUAUAC
This 301-nucleotide ribosomal RNA is filed under the name uncultured bacterium. RNAcentral describes it as "partial 16S ribosomal RNA". It matches the Rfam family "Bacterial small subunit ribosomal RNA", at positions 509 to 807 of the family's 1533-position model. The record is from RNAcentral.